GUGCAGCUGCUGACCCUCCUUAUCGACGACUCAGCUUCACCAUAAGCUCCCACACGAAUUGCUUGAUUCAUUGAAGAAGACGAUUGGGUCUGUAGCUCAGUUGGUUAGAGCGCACCCCUGAUAAGGGUGAGGUCGGCAGUUCGAAUCUGCCCAGACCCACCAAUUGUUUGGGGCCAUAGCUCAGCUGGGAGAGCGCCUGCCUUGCACGCAGGAGGUCAGCGGUUCGAUCCCGCUUGGCUCCACCAUUCAUUGGUCAAUCUCAUGCGCUGCAGCUUCAACCAGAGCCUUCCCUCACAAAUGACCAUUCCGUCGAUACCGGGCCUGAAUGUUAAUUUCUGAUCUUUAUCUUAAUCAUUCUUUAAAAAUUUGGACAGGUAACCAAAAGUUAGACUGUGAACCACUUUCACUGGUGGAAUCACAGGCUAAUGUAAAAUUUGUGAGUGAAUUGCAAAUUUUCGGCUAAUGUCAUCGUCUGGGGUAACCGGAUUGCUUGGGGUUAUAUGGCCAAGGUGAAUUGGGCACACGGUGGUGCCC
This 534-nucleotide transfer RNA is filed under the name Pseudomonas cichorii. RNAcentral describes it as "partial contains 16S ribosomal RNA, 16S-23S ribosomal RNA intergenic spacer, and 23S ribosomal RNA". The stretch from base 86 to 159 matches the Rfam family "tRNA". The record is from RNAcentral. Lineage: Bacteria; Pseudomonadati; Pseudomonadota; Gammaproteobacteria; Pseudomonadales; Pseudomonadaceae.